RNAcentral lists this ribosomal RNA (244 nucleotides) under uncultured Staphylococcus sp. RNAcentral describes it as "partial 16S ribosomal RNA". It matches the Rfam family "Bacterial small subunit ribosomal RNA", at positions 96 to 334 of the family's 1533-position model. The record is from RNAcentral. Lineage: Bacteria; Bacillati; Bacillota; Bacilli; Caryophanales; Staphylococcaceae.
CGGCGGACGGGUGAGUAACACGUGGAUAACCUACCUAUAAGACUGGGAUAACUUCGGGAAACCGGAGCUAAUACCGGAUAAUAUAUUGAACCGCAUGGUUCAAUAGUGAAAGACGGUUUUGCUGUCACUUAUAGAUGGAUCCGCGUCGCAUUAGCUAGUUGGUAAGGUAACGGCUUACCAAGGCAACGAUGCGUAGCCGACCUGAGAGGGUGAUCGGCCACACUUGAACUGAGACACGGUCCAG